Long non-coding RNA from Ursus maritimus (polar bear), 1884 nucleotides. The record is from Ensembl. NCBI's taxonomy places the organism in Eukaryota, Metazoa, Chordata, Mammalia, Carnivora, Ursidae.
AACACUUAAGAUCUAGUCUCAGCAACUUCCAAGUAUACAAUACAUGAUAUUAACUAUAGGCCUAUGACCGAGUUUUGACCAUACGGACAAAGAUGAUGUUGUAGGGGAUGGCGUGAAACCCACACGGAAGAAGCCGGGGAAUCCUGAAUGCAGAGCAGGCUUCCUGCCUACCCUGCACUAUUCCAAGAGACAGAAAUAAGUGUAUUGUUUGACUCCCUGUAUUGUUGGGGCUCCCUGUCGCAGCAGGUCACUAACCCACAUGGCAUGUGGUAUUCCACAAAGGCUUUAAAAAGGUACUUCAGUCACAAGUCACUCAGUAACUUUUUCCUGAGUGGCUACGGGACGCGCGACCUCGGAGAAGAAAAUGCAGUGUCUACUGGCCAGAGUGGGCGUUCAGAAUGGGCCUGGGGGACGGCACUCCAGGAGCGUCAGCAGUGAUGACUGGUCCUGGUUCCUCUGGCCGUCCACCUGUGAUGCAGGAUUUGUGGAGACGCUCCUCAUGUGAAGCCUGCAGGGCUUGGACACCUUGCACUUUGCCAGCACCAAGUGUGGCUGGUUCUGCAGAUUCAGAGAACAACUGAUGUCCAAAGGACUGAGAAAGCUUUGAGCUGUUUCUGUAGUGGGCACAUGGCUAGUCAAUGAUCAAAGUGUUUAAGAGGAUCCAAGUGAUGGGUUUUCUGACAAUUCUAAUAGAAUCUAGAAGAUUUUUCUGUCCAGCUCCAGUUCUUACAUAUUCUUAUUGAGACAUGUAUAUGGUAAUUGAUAAGACGACCAGAGAGCCAAAGCAGAGAAGUAUGCUGAGAGACAUAUUCAAGACUGAAUGAAUGUGUUCUAUAGAAAAGUAUGAAAAUAGGCCAUCAUAGAUUGUGAAAGACUAUACUUUCUUUUGACUGGGUAGACAUGUCCAGUGCUGUUAAUGCAGCAAAGGGCUCUGUGUGCUUUUAAAAAUCCCAAUCUGUUGAUUCACAAACUUUGACUGGUUGUAAGGCAGGCUCCCCACCUUGGGAAGGCACCCCCACAAGCUUUCAAGGGGUGUUGUUUGCAGUGGCAGGUUAUGAUUGGUUCACCAGGAGCUCAGUUGCCACCAUGCUGGUCUGCAGAACUCCCCUAGGAUACCCCACAGGGGCUCCCCUCCACUCUUGUCUGCCUCUUCUGCAGCUGGCCACACCUGUAUCUCACAGCUGGUCUCAACCCUCCUCCUUCCCCACGGAUGUUUAAGAGGCAGGAACCCAAAGAUUAAGGAGGGAGGGACUCACCUCCAAAGGUAAGUGGGGAGAAGUGAAUGGACCAAGGAUAAAGCCAGAAAUGAGUUGAAGAAUUCCAGGAAUGACAAGUCAGAGGACCUUCUAGGCUGUGAUUGGAACAGGAAGGCCUGGAAGUGCAUUGACUCUUGAGGUUGCUUCCUACUCUCUUGCAGACUGGCUGUGAGGACCAACUGAGGUCCUAUUUGUCAAGCACCAGGGCCAGCCCUAACGUUAGUGCUUUUCUAAACCCUGUGGCCCAGGGGCCUCUGUCAACGCAUCCUCCCUGCCAUGCAUCGCUCCUCCACGCCUCUGUGCCUGUGCAUGACCGGGAUGUCCUUCUCCUUCUCCACCUGGAGAAAUCGCCUGCUCCAGGAGACCCAGCCCAGAUGUCAUGUCAUCACUGACUACAUCAGGAAGUCAGUGGCAGGGUUCUGUGCCCCCAAAGAAUGUGUCACACUGUGUUGUGAUGAUAUUUCCACAUCGGUCUCCCUCAACUGUACUGAGAGCUUCUCACUCAUCUUCAUGCCUUCCUGGUCUCUCCUGAUGCCAGCACCUUCCUGAGGACAGAGGUGUUCAGGAAAUAGGUGUUUUUGGAAAUGAACAAAUACAUACAUAAAUAAAGAAAUGUUCUUAUGGUCCA